CGCGGUUAGACUUAAAACUACAAAUUUUAAUUAUAAGCAGUUAAUAUAAGUAUUUUAAUAAUACUAAGAAAAGAGGUAAAAUUUAAGCUCUAAUUUUUUAAACUAAGUUAAUAGUGAAGCUGUUAAAUUUAAAACUUAAACCGGGAUUAGAUACCCCGCUAUAUUUAAAUAAGUUAAUAAAUAGGGUAUUAAAAGUUAUGUUCUUAAAACUCAAAGGAUUUGGCGGUUUUUAAACCAACUAGAGGAGGCUGUUACAUAAUCGUAAACACGCGUUAGAUUUAACCUUAUAAUAACUCGUAUAUCGUCGUCUAAAUAUAACUUAUAGGCUAUAUUUAAAUGAAUAAAUAAAGAUGUCAGAUCAAGGUGCGGUAGUAUUAAGGGGAGAAUGGCCUACAAUUUAUAAAAUAGUGGAAGGUUAUUUAAAUAAUCCUGAAAAUGGAUUUAGUAGUACUUACGUUUAAAUAUGACGUUAAAAAUAGGCUCUUAAAAAUGUACAUAUCGCCCGUCACUCUCAUUGCUGGGAUAAGUCGU
This 531-nucleotide ribosomal RNA is filed under the name Caecosphaeroma burgundum. RNAcentral describes it as "partial 12S ribosomal RNA". Lineage: Eukaryota; Metazoa; Arthropoda; Malacostraca; Isopoda; Sphaeromatidae. The record is from RNAcentral.